RNAcentral lists this transfer RNA (57 nucleotides) under Ferrimonas aestuarii. RNAcentral describes it as "Ferrimonas sp. IMCC35002 tRNA-Asp". It matches the Rfam family "tRNA", at positions 8 to 61 of the family's 71-position model. Rfam says of the family: Transfer RNA (tRNA) molecules are approximately 80 nucleotides in length. Their secondary structure includes four short double-helical elements and three loops (D, anti-codon, and T loops). Lineage: Bacteria; Pseudomonadati; Pseudomonadota; Gammaproteobacteria; Alteromonadales; Ferrimonadaceae. The record is from RNAcentral.
UAGUUCAGUUGGUUAGAAUACCGGCCUGUCACGCCGGGGGUCGCGGGUUCGAGUCCC